This is a small nucleolar RNA of Otolemur garnettii (small-eared galago), 140 nucleotides long. Lineage: Eukaryota; Metazoa; Chordata; Mammalia; Primates; Galagidae. The record is from Ensembl.
AGUCCCUCCAAUGGGAUAUUAGCCUUAAAAAGGAAGGAAUGGUGCCCAUCUUAUAUCAGCCAGGGACAAAGCCACCCCUUGUUUAUCCUGGGUUGGCUUUUGGUCUGUGCCCAUGCCUUGUUCGUGACUUGGACACAUGG